GUGAAAGUUGCCUUAAAAUCUCUCCUUGAAAUACAACAAAGUUUGAUACUUUUAACCUCUGUGAGAUUCCCAACACAUUUUGUUGAAAUGAUUUAUUUACUUAUGUGUCAUAUUGUUGUCUUUAUUUGAAGAAUUCAGCGUGAAGCCUACCACAUACCAUAUGACUAAUAAUUGUGUCUUGAAUGAAUAUUUGAACAAAUGAAUAAAUCAGUCAAACUGGGUCCCUGGACCAUGCAGAGAACAACUGUCCCUUCCUCUUUGGUGGUUUCCUCACAACUCUUGAGGUGCUCCUUGUCUGUGGCACAGAGGUGCAGACCAAGUCACUGGGACAUGGCCAAUGGAAUGUUUCCACGGCAACAGUGGCAGCAAUUCAGUGAGUAGCUUUUCCAUUCUUCCUUCAUGACCUUCAGGCUAUAAAUUGUUUCAGAGAGGGAAAAAAACAAAACAAAACUGUUUUUCCCUUAAAAUAUAAUAUAAUUCAUUUAGAUUCAUUCUAAUGAGACAGUUAUGAGACUAGGAAUAUUCCCAAGACAUGAAUCCAGUAAGUAAGUGGUUUUGCUACUAACAAGCUAUGUGACCUUGGGCAAGUCAGUUAUUCUCUACAAGCCCUGACUUCCUCAUCUACAAAGUAUGAAUAAAAAUGUAUGUACACUUCA
RNAcentral lists this long non-coding RNA (656 nucleotides) under Sus scrofa (pig). Its description in RNAcentral is "lncRNA (ENSSSCG00015072214.1)". Lineage: Eukaryota; Metazoa; Chordata; Mammalia; Artiodactyla; Suidae. The record is from RNAcentral.